RNAcentral lists this long non-coding RNA (919 nucleotides) under Manacus vitellinus (golden-collared manakin). Its description in RNAcentral is "lncRNA (ENSMVIG00005018199.1)". Lineage: Eukaryota; Metazoa; Chordata; Aves; Passeriformes; Pipridae. The record is from RNAcentral.
GAAUGAACAGGGAUGAUGCAGCAGAAGUGGUGGAUCAUAUAACAAGGAGACUGUCACAGUAGGCUUCUUCUAGGUUUUGUUUGCCCUGCAAGAACUUGUCAGAACAAAGACAACUCACCUGGAGGUAGAAAACUCCUCUGAGCCUGUGCCUGCUGCUGCAUUUCAUCACUGGCUUUUGACUGAGGCAUCUGAUUGUUGUGGCUAAAUUAGUGCAGAUCAUUUGGGCUGGCUGUCAUGGGAUUACAUGUCCACUUAGAGGCAGGUACUAGGGCAUAGAAGUUUGAGCCUAGGCCAGAUCACACUUGUUCUAUGUAUUAACUUCAAAGUCUGAGGAAGCCCUGUAUUGGUUAAUGUGUCACAGCUGAGGUGACCUGGAAAUCAUCUUCAUAAUUUGAAAACUCUGGGAAAGGAAAAUUUCUUUAUAACCCAGUCAAAGUAAGCAACACACAAGUGCCAAUUUGUGUUGGUACUGAGGACGCUGCAGACUCAAGUAGCUGAUAACUGGCUUUGUGACAGCCUACUUCUCUUGCAGAGUGGAAUCUUCGUGAACCUGAGAGCCUGGCCUAACAUUUCCACAGUGAUGAUAAAAAUGCUGAUCAGAAGUUUAGUAUCACCAUUUCUCAGUUCAAAAGCCAUCUAAAUAUGCUAUGCUGAACCUUGGAGGUGUAGUUAUCACUGCUGAGUUGUAAGCAAGAGAACUUGUUAGAGUUUCACCAUGCUGGAAGGCCAGAGAAAAGAGUUGGCCUCUAGAACUCUCUACCUCAAAGAGGUUCCUACAGCUUGCUGUUGGUACAAACUGAAGCAUUCAGCCCUUCAUGGAAUCAAUGGAGUCUAUAACUUUAAUGUAUAAAUAUGCUUAAAAAGAUUCUGGGACCUUCAUUGAUUGACACAAUAUGAUGAAUUGUCCUAAUCCUCUGUA